This 186-nucleotide ribosomal RNA is filed under the name uncultured bacterium. Its description in RNAcentral is "partial 16S ribosomal RNA". It matches the Rfam family "Bacterial small subunit ribosomal RNA", at positions 340 to 524 of the family's 1533-position model. The record is from RNAcentral.
UACGGAGGCAGCAGUGAGGAAUAUUGGUCAAUGGACGAGAGUCUGAACCAGCCAAGUAGCGUGAAGGAUGACUGCCCUAUGGGUUGUAAACUUCUUUUAUACGGGAAUAAAGUGAGGCACGUGUGCCUUUUUGUAUGUACCGUAUGAAUAAGGAUCGGCUAACUCCGUGCCAGCAGCCGCGGUAAU